AGGGUUUGAUCCUGGCUCAGAUUGAACGCUGGCGGCAGGCUUAACACAUGCAAGUCGAGCGGAAACGAGAAUAGCUUGCUAUUCGGCGUCGAGCGGCGGACGGGUGAGUAAUGCUUGGGAAUAUGCCUUGAGGUGGGGGACAACAGUUGGAAACGACUGCUAAUACCGCAUAAUGUCUACGGACCAAAGGAGGGGAUCUUCGGACCUUUCGCCUUUAGAUUAGCCCAAGUGAGAUUAGCUAGAUGGUGGGGUAAUGGCCUACCAUGGCGACGAUCUCUAGCUGGUUUGAGAGGAUGAUCAGCCACACUGGGACUGAGACACGGCCCAGACUCCUACGGGAGGCAGCAGUGGGGAAUAUUGCACAAUGGGCGAAAGCCUGAUGCAGCCAUGCCGCGUGUGUGAAGAAGGCCUUCGGGUUGUAAAGCACUUUCAGCGAGGAGGAAAGGGAUGUAGUUAAUAACUGCAUUCUGUGACGUUACUCGCAGAAGAAGCACCGGCUAACUUCGUGCCAGCAGCCGCGGUAAUACGAGGGGUGCAAGCGUUAAUCGGAAUUACUGGGCGUAAAGCGUGCGUAGGUGGUUUGUUAAGCAAGAUGUGAAAGCCCCGGGCUCAACCUGGGAACUGCAUUUUGAACUGGCAGGCUAGAGUAUUGUAGAGGGUAGUGGAAUUUCCAGUGUAGCGGUGAAAUGCGUAGAGAUUGGAAGGAACAUCAGUGGCGAAGGCGGCUACCUGGACAAAUACUGACACUGAGGCACGAAAGCGUGGGAGCAAACAGGANUANAUACCCUGGUAGUCCA
This 797-nucleotide ribosomal RNA is filed under the name uncultured bacterium. RNAcentral's name for it is "bacterial SSU rRNA". It matches the Rfam family "Bacterial small subunit ribosomal RNA", at positions 8 to 797 of the family's 1533-position model. The record is from RNAcentral.